AAGGGGGGCUAUGCUGGCAUUGUUCCACCUGUUCCCAUUUCGAACACAGAAGUGAAAUAUGCCAAGGCCGAUAAUAGUCCUUUUGGGCGAAGGUAGGUAGCCCCCUUUA
This 109-nucleotide ribosomal RNA is filed under the name Candidatus Parcubacteria bacterium. The record is from RNAcentral. Lineage: Bacteria; Candidatus Parcubacteria.